GACGAACGCUGGCGGCGCGCCUAACACAUGCAAGUCGAACGGAGCGUACUGACAGAAGCCCUUCGGGGUGGAAGAUGGUAUUGCUUAGUGGCGAACGGGUGAGUAACACGUGAGCAACCUGCCCUAAAGUGGGGGACAACAUUUGGAAACGAAUGCUAAUACCGCAUAAGACCACGGUACCACAUGGUACAGCGGCCAAAGGAUUUAUUCGCUUUAGGAUGGGCUCGCGUCUGAUUAGCUAGUUGGUGGGGUAAUGGCCUACCAAGGCGACGAUCAGUAGCCGGACUGAGAGGUCGAUCGGCCACAUUGGGACUGAGAUACGGCCCAGACUCCUACGGGAGGCAGCAGUGGGGAAUAUUGGGCAAUGGGCGAAAGCCUGACCCAGCGACGCCGCGUGAGGGAAGAAGGUUUUCGGAUUGUAAACCUCUGUCUUCGGGGAAGAUAAUGACGGUACCCGAGGAGGAAGCCACGGCUAACUACGUGCCAGCCGCCGCCGUAAUAC
This 502-nucleotide ribosomal RNA is filed under the name uncultured bacterium. Its description in RNAcentral is "bacterial SSU rRNA". It matches the Rfam family "Bacterial small subunit ribosomal RNA", at positions 28 to 526 of the family's 1533-position model. The record is from RNAcentral.